AGACGACGAGCCAGAAUACAUUUUUGUCCGUCGCCAACCAGUGGAGGAGACACCUGUGCCAAUGAUUUAUGGGGGCCCUAGACAGGGGCAAGAUAGGUGGGCUGGCCCAGAAGCGGGCAGGCAGCAGCCCACUUAUACAAGAGGUAAACUAAAGCAAUGUUUAAA
This is a long non-coding RNA of Pseudophryne corroboree (corroboree frog), 165 nucleotides long. RefSeq lists it as uncharacterized. The transcript has 3 exons. The record is from RefSeq and is a predicted model, not a curated record. Lineage: Eukaryota; Metazoa; Chordata; Amphibia; Anura; Myobatrachidae.